UGAAUCUUACUUCUCUAAAACACUAUCCGAUGGAUUUAAGUUUUCUCUUCUUGUCCUGUUGUUGGUGGAGAUGAGUGCGUUGGCUUGGAUUUGCAUGUUUUAUUCAUUUAUCCUUUUGAUGGUAUAGAGAAUGAACUACUGGUACAAAGUAUAAUUUAAAUGUAUAAAUAUAAGUAGCUACUUAGUAGUAUGUACUAAUGUGAUUAAUUACAUUCCUAAUUAACCUUAGUUCUCUUUUAUAUGCUGAAAUUCCUAAAAUCAACAUUAUUUUGGUAAUGCUCAUGGCCAUAGCAAAGUAGCAAACAAGAGUUAUUGUUUACAUUCCUUAGCAUUUCUUGUGUUUCUUACUUUUGAAUCUGAUUUUAUGCAUUUAGUUCUGUAUAUUCUAAAUCACUUCAGAAGAAGAAGUUCCACCAUUUAGAUCACUAUGGUAGCAUCCAUUCUUCAAACAUGUAAUUUUUUAUAUACUCAACUUUUUUAAGAGCCUAAUCUUUGUGAAUAUUUCUUUUUAUAUGAGUGUUAUUUUGUGAUCAUAAUAAUGUUAGUCAGUGUAGUUCAAACUAUUUCCAUGAGAGAAAUUUUAGUUCGAUGUAUGAGGAAGAAGGAAGCUCCAAGAAUGGUAAGAAGCAUUUUAUGUGUUUACAGGGCAGAUUGAUCAAUAAAAAUGAGGUGGCAGUAAAAAAACUUCUUAAAAAAUAGAACAAGAAGAGAGAAUUCAUAAUUGAAGUGGAGGCUAUAGGUCAUGUUAGAGAUAAAUAUCUUGUGUGCCUGUUUGGAGGGAGUUAAACAGAGUAAUGGAUGCAUGUUGCCAUGGAACAAGGAACACUUACCUGGGAGGUUCGCAUGCUCGAUAGUUACCUGGC
Non-coding RNA from Arachis ipaensis, 863 nucleotides. Lineage: Eukaryota; Viridiplantae; Streptophyta; Magnoliopsida; Fabales; Fabaceae. The record is from RefSeq and is a predicted model, not a curated record.